GUCUACGGCCAUACCACCCUGAACGCGCCCGAUCUCGUCUGAUCUCGGAAGCUAAGCAGGGUCGGGCCUGGUUAGUACUUGGAUAGGAGGAAAACCUGUCAUUUUUACUUCCAAAGCAUGCAGGGGUAGAGU
RNAcentral lists this ribosomal RNA (132 nucleotides) under Neogale vison (American mink). The record is from RNAcentral. Lineage: Eukaryota; Metazoa; Chordata; Mammalia; Carnivora; Mustelidae.